CUCUGACCUUGACUUAGGGAGCUGUCUAGGCCAUGAACAGCCAUCUUCUCAAGAGAAUGGGAAACAGUUUCAAAUGCUUUUCUAAAAUCCAGUUUGUGCCUGUUAUCUUUGUCCUGUCACUGGAAAAAAGGAGAAGCCACACAGAGGCAGAAAUGGACAGCUCUGACCAAGGGACAGUAGUAGAGACUGCGUAGGAGAAAUACUGAGCCUGAAGAAGAGGAAAGUCAACUAAGAUUAAAUAUAAAAUGGAAUUCCUGACCACAUGGAAGGGGAAAAUGAAGUAAUAACAUUUCACCUCUGACUCUGAGGUUGGAAACAGCUGCCCUUGAAGAAUAUUUUGAAGAAGGAGGACUUUGCACGGAGCUUCUUUUAGGGGUACUGAAAACUUUCAAGACUGUCUGAGAGGGACUCUUCAGGAAGUAUUGGCUUUACUGAUCUCUCAAAGAGCAACUUCAUUUUUUUCUAUUCUUGUGAUUUGUAUUUUCUUGUUAAGUUCAAAACUUCAGAGGUCUGAGUACAAGUAUAUCCUUCUAAUACGCCGACGACUAUAGUACUAUACAAAGGAGAAAUAAUCAUCAAAUGAAGAAGAGACAGAAGGAAUAUGCAUGCCAAACAAGAAAAAGUAAUAUUUAUUUUCUAUGAUUUUCUAAAUAAUUUUAAUUGCCAUUUAAUGGCAUAGGCUUGUGUUUGAGCAUAGAAUUGAACUGCAACAGAUCUUUUAUCAGCUGUUGCUUCUGUCUAUCAAUUUUUAAUUUAAUCAUCAGAAUUAAAAUUAC
This is a long non-coding RNA of Coturnix japonica (Japanese quail), 776 nucleotides long. RefSeq lists it as uncharacterized. The record is from RefSeq and is a predicted model, not a curated record. Lineage: Eukaryota; Metazoa; Chordata; Aves; Galliformes; Phasianidae.